This 303-nucleotide ribosomal RNA is filed under the name uncultured bacterium. RNAcentral's name for it is "partial 16S ribosomal RNA". It matches the Rfam family "Bacterial small subunit ribosomal RNA", at positions 507 to 807 of the family's 1533-position model. The record is from RNAcentral.
AGCAGUCGCCACGGUAAUACAGAGGGUGCGAGCGUUAAUCGGAUUUACUGGGCGUAAAGCGUGCGUAGGCGGCUUUUUAAGUCGGAUGUGAAAUCCCUGAGCUUAACUUAGGAAUUGCAUUCGAUACUGGGAAGCUAGAGUAUGGGAGAGGAUGGUAGAAUUCCAGGUGUAGCGGUGAAAUGCGUAGAGAUCUGGAGGAAUACCGAUGGCGAAGGCAGCCAUCUGGCCUAAUACUGACGCUGAGGUACGAAAGCAUGGGGAGCAAACAGGAUUAGAUACCCGGGUAGUCCCUGUCUCUUAUAC